UACGUAGGGGGCAAGCGUUGUCCGGAAUUAUUGGGCGUAAAGAGCGUGUAGGCGGUCCGGUAAGUCGGCUGUGAAAGUCCAGGGCUCAACCCUGGGAUGCCGGUCGAUACUGCCGGACUAGAGUUCGGAAGAGGCGAGUGGAAUUCCCGGUGUAGCGGUGAAAUGCGCAGAUAUCAGGAGGAACACCUAUGGCGAAGGCAGCUCGCUGGGACGUUACUGACGCUGAGACGCGAAAGCGUGGGGAGCAAACAGG
This 253-nucleotide ribosomal RNA is filed under the name uncultured bacterium. RNAcentral describes it as "partial 16S ribosomal RNA". It matches the Rfam family "Bacterial small subunit ribosomal RNA", at positions 524 to 776 of the family's 1533-position model. The record is from RNAcentral.